This is a long non-coding RNA of Homo sapiens (human), 4119 nucleotides long. Ensembl annotates it as MIR646 host gene. Its record names the gene MIR646HG. Lineage: Eukaryota; Metazoa; Chordata; Mammalia; Primates; Hominidae. The record is from Ensembl.
GGUCAGGGUGCUGCCUCCCUAUCCACUGGGAGUCCUUUUGCGUUUCAGAUGCUCCCAGGCUCUCCCGCAGUUUAAAGACUUAACUCAGCGGCUUUCAGGGCCUGUGGUUGAGGGACUCCGAAAGAACUGUUGCUGGUGGACCGGUUCAGGGUCUUGACUUCGCCACACAAAAGAACUUGAGAGCACGUCCAAAGUAAAGCUAAGACCUCUAGUACAGUGUUCAAUGGAACUGGUGAGAAAAGACGUCCUUGCUGUGUUCCUGAUAUGAAGAGGAAAGCAGUCCUUCUCCAUUAAAUGCUGACAACAUGAGCCUCCCGUGGUCGGAACGGGCUUGUGAAGGCGGUGCUGGGGUGCACCAGGGCAGCAGCUACAGGUGAGUAGGCGGGGACAUUUGAAAGGGGCUAAUUUUCUCGUGGUCCUUUAUAGGGGGAUGUUUGUAUGUUAAGACAGCUCUUUCUUCCCUAUACAACUCUGUAGCUGGGGUUGAGUGCAUGUAAACUCAGCUAACAAAAUCUUCUUGCAUUCGGUUUGAGGUCUAUUGCUCUGCAGAAUCCCCAGGCCUGCCACUUUCCUGGCACAUCUUCUCAGCCCUUAGGCUCAGGCUGCAGUCUUUGAUUAGUGGUGCAUGUAUGUGCGACGGGGACAGUUGUCACUGAAAUUACAGACAGCUGAAUGGUGAUUUGAAUUGCAUGAGCAUUAAGGCCUUUCUUAAGAGAGAUAUGCAAAACCCAUGGUUUGAUUCUCUUGAAGCAUCGGGAAGGCCUGUAUAGAUAAAUCCCCCUGACAUCAACAUAGCGGGGACACUCUAAGAACCUAAUUUUAAUGAAUAUACAUUUUGACUUUCCAACUGCAAGAGAAUGAGGGCAGAUUUGUUUAGAUCUUCCUAAUUAAUAGCCCAGGUUGACUGUACUUUUCUGUUUAAUAUAACUGAUUUCAUCUCAUUAAGGGAGAGGUAGAAAUUAGAUGCAUUCUCCACUUCCUGGUAAGAAUAUCUUCUUAUUAUAAGCUGGGCAUAAAAACCCAUCAUGGCAUGCGUACUGGGACUGCUGUGUUCUGGGUGGAGCCACGUUCGGAAGACCUUGUCUGUAAUGAAAUGGGACAUUUUUCUGUACUUAGUUAAUAAUCUUUGGGCAGCAUUUGAUCAUUUGAAAAAAGUCACACCAUUCACUUGAUCAGGAGGCAUCUGCAGGGAAUGCAGGUCGGGCCUGAGUCCUGUUGGCCCAGGAACAGGUAGUUGUGGCGUCAGGCAAUUUUUGUUGUUGUUGUUGAUGUUGUUGUUUUUGAGACAGAGGCUCGCUCUGUCGCCCAGGCUGGAGUGCAGUGGCACUAUCUUGGUUCACUGCAACCUCCGACUCCCUGGUUCAAGCGAUUCUCCUGCCUCAGCCUCCCGAGUAGCUGGAAUUACAGGCACGCACCACCAAGCCCAGAUAAUUUUUGUAUUUUUAGUAGAGACGGGGUUUUACCAUGUUGGCCAGGAUGGUCUUGAUCUUCUGACCUUGUGAUCUGCCCACCUCAGCCUCCCAAAGUGCUGGGAUUACAGGAGUGAGCCAAUGUGCCCGGCCUGAGGUGUUUUUUUAGUCAGGUAAUUGAGGUGUUUCCACCAGGACAAAGCCUCUUGGUGGCUGAGAGGGACCCCACUGAACUCUCUGCUGACCGAUGGGGGAGCAUGCUAAGUGCUUAGGAACAUUAGCACAUACCUUGUGAAACUGAUGUUUUUAUGGUCAAAAAGGGUUGGAUAUCAGCACUUCCAUAAGAUACAGUGGACAUUGGGACGCACAUUUACUCCCAGUGACCCCCCACUCUGUUCCUUGGUGCUCUGUGUCCCCACCUCAGCUGCUCUGGGCUGUGGCUUUCUGCUCAGCAGUUCUUGUUUUGUUACUGCUGUUGUUGCCUUGGGGUGAGAAAGGAUUUGUAUCCGCACACAGAGGAAGAUGAAAAAUGUCAUAUUUCUUUAUUUCGUAAAAGACUGAAUUAAAUACGACUCUCAAGCAAUAUCUUGGCAGGCUGGUGGGAAAUUCAAUCUCAGACAUUUUGGACUUCCUUGUGCCUUCCUUUUGGGGCACAGACAUUCUGGAGGUUUUGGUGAGUUCGAGGGUGGCUGUGCUGGUCUCCAUCUCUGGUGCUCACUACUGAUGACCUUGUGCAUGCUGUAUCAUUAUUUCGAAAGAUGAUUUUAUCUCAGUGUUUUGAAUAAACAUUUUCCACUGUGCUCCAAGGGCCUCCCAGUGGACUGAUGGGUAUUAGUUCCCAGAUAUGGGUCUUUGUGGAGGUUGUAGGCCCCGUGAGGCAGGGGACCACACCUGUCUUAAUCACUGCUUCACCUCCAGAGCCCGGAACAGCGCCUGGUUCAUAGUGUCCAAUAAUUAUUGAGUGAUUGAUUUAAACGGAAAAAGUCUCAGGGGUAACUGAAUCAGGAAGUUGAGGAUUUUAGGAGUAAUCUGGAUACAGUUCCUUCUGGACUAACAGACAACUUAGGUAGAGAAAACAUUGUUGAAAUAUACUUACAUUAUUCAGCAGAAAGAGACCUGAGGAAUAAUAAAACACUAGAAAGGAAAUCACUAAGGAAUUAUCAGUAGACUUUCUGCAAGCAGUACAUUUGUAUAAUUUAUUACUGGAUAUAUAACAAUAUGAUCUCUUUUAAAAUAUACUUAUUUCAAUAUAACAUACAUAAAUGUACAUAAAUAAUACUUUGUGUAGUUAAUGAGUCUUUACCUACUCAAAGGAAGAAAGAGAAGGUUAUCAGCAUCUAGAAAGCACACUCCUGCCCCCUCCCAAUUACAGCCUUCUCAAAAUCUAAUCCCUAUCAGAGGGUCUAUCAUUAGGAAUUAAUUCUGAUUGUUGAACUUUAUACCCAAUGUGUACAGAGUGUGCUUUCUUUUGUGUUGGACUUCCUUCACUCAUCGUUAUGUGUGGGAGAUGCACCCAUGUUGUGUGUGGUUGUAGUGUAUUCAUUUUCAUUGCAAUGUAAUAUUCCACUGAAGAAGAAGUCGUGAUUUAUGCAUUAUACUGUUGAGGGCCGUUUGGGAUGCCUACAAUAAAUAACAGUGCUAUAACAUCCUUGUUCCUGUUUCUGGUGGAUUCAUGCAAACAUUUCUAUUGAGUGGAAUUCUAUUUAGGAGUGGAAUUACUGGCUGACUUAGAUCACAUUCCCCAGAAGCAAGAGUCUGAGAUGGGUCUUACUGUGCAAGUGAUUUACAGAAAGGGUGCUCUCAGGAGGAAGCUGGGAGGAAGCAAGGGAAGGAGGAGACAGCCUGGGAGAAGCUAUACCAUAUAUGGGUUCGGGUAGAGUCCAGGGCAGCCUGAUGCCAUAGGGAGCUCUGGGGGGUGACCAGCACCACAGCAUUGAUCCUCUGAGGGCUUUGGUAUCUUUUCAUCAGCCAGACAUUGGCUGGGUGUCAUCCCAGAGGGGUGGGGAUAACAUUGUGAAGCAUCUGUAUGUGUGAUGGCUCCCAUCAGCAAAAUCACUCUCUGGAAAAGGUGUGGGACCUCAGCAGCUAACACUCUGAGGAGCUGGGACAUCGGUGCCCUGGCUCAUAAAAUGGCCUGGGUGGGUCACCAAGCAUGUCUGCUACACUAAGGCAGCAAGGAGCCAAUGGCCAGUAUUAGCAGGCAUUGCUAGUGUUUGUAUGGAUAGGAAUACCUCGAGCAUCGUAGGAGGGUUUCUGUUGUUCCAGCUUCUCACCAACACUAGGUAUUAUCUGAUUUUUCAUUUUAGCCAUUUUUUCCAUUGUGCUCAUUUGGCUAAUAAGAUACAGUGGUAUCUUGUUGUGACUUUAAUUUGCAUUUUCCCGAUGACUAAUAAGGCUCCCUUUCCUUAUGUUUAUUGCUGUGUGUUUAUAUUAUUUUAAGAAGUGUCUCAAGAACUCUACAAUUACGUCGUCUUUAAUUGGGUCGUCUGCCUUUUUCUUAUUGUGUGGGUUAAUUACCUAUUCUGGACUGUAGUCCUCAUCAGAUAUUUGCUUUAGAAAUGCCUUCUCCAUCACUACGGUUGUCCUUUUUAAUCUUGUAACAUAUCCUUUGCUCAACAGAAGUUCUUAAUUUUAAUGAAAUCCAGUGUCAUCUUUUUCCUUUUAUGGUUUGUGCCAUUUGCCCUAUUUAAGGAAUCUUUGUCUGCCCCAA